Molecule: ribosomal RNA, 310 nt
Filed under: Escherichia coli
Lineage: Bacteria; Pseudomonadati; Pseudomonadota; Gammaproteobacteria; Enterobacterales; Enterobacteriaceae
Description: bacterial SSU rRNA
Rfam family: Bacterial small subunit ribosomal RNA
Source: RNAcentral
AAAUUGAAGAGUUUGAUCAUGGCUCAGAUUGAACGCUGGCGGCAGGCCUAACACAUGCAAGUCGAACGGUAACAGGAAGCAGCUUGCUGUUUCGCUGACGAGUGGCGGACGGGUGAGUAAUGUCUGGGAAACUGCCUGAUGGAGGGGGAUAACUACUGGAAACGGUAGCUAAUACCGCAUAACGUCGCAAGACCAAAGAGGGGGACCUUCGGGCCUCUUGCCAUCGGAUGUGCCCAGAUGGGAUUAGCUAGUAGGUGGGGUAACGGCUCACCUAGGCGACGAUCCCUAGCUGGUCUGAGAGGAUGACCAG